CAAAGAGUAGUUUAAGUAAAAUAAUAAUUUUGGAGAUUAUAGAUAAUUUUUGAUUUUCUUUGA
This 63-nucleotide transfer RNA is filed under the name Limnocentropus hysbald. RNAcentral's name for it is "tRNA-Pro". Lineage: Eukaryota; Metazoa; Arthropoda; Insecta; Trichoptera; Limnocentropodidae. The record is from RNAcentral.